CUGAGAGCCUAUGGGAGCUGUAGGAAGUGUCACGUUACAGCAAAGAUCCUCAGUCUUCAAUAAAAAGAGCCAAGAUGAACAAGAACUUGUCAGACAGGUCACUUCCUGUAUGGAAUCUUCUCAGCAUCAGUAGAACACGCCUGAGUCUCCUCCACCAGUCAUACAAGGAGAAUGUUCUAAUGCCUCCCAUUAAAGAGUGCUUGCAUGGGCCAGCUCAGGUUACACUUGAAGCGUGAGGACUUGCAGCGAGUGGUGAACUUCAUCAACAACUACGCAGAGGAUAAUGCAAUAGUAUUACCUGGACGCCACCCAGGACACAAACACUUCGGUGGAAAGCUUCUGCCAUCCCAUGUGGCAAAAGCAGCAGUGUGGUGUCUCUACAAGGAAUCGAUGACAACACUUGCAAACAGUCUGGACCUUCAUUUCCUGAUCACAGGCCACACCAAGUUUUCCCACGACUGGUGCUUCGGCCUCAUCAAGCAACGCUUCAGAAAGACCAGAGUGAAGACUUUGUCAGAGAUUGCUGGUGUUUUGAAGGACAGCACUGUGACAGGGGUCAACAUCCCAAAGCUGGUUGGACUGGAGGAUGAUACAGUGUUGGUGGAAGGCUAUGGCUGGCAACAACAGCUGACUCCGUACUUCAGGCCGCUGCCACAGAUCAAGCAGUACCAGC
RNAcentral lists this long non-coding RNA (673 nucleotides) under Salmo salar (Atlantic salmon). RNAcentral's name for it is "lncRNA (ENSSSAG00000095522.1)". Lineage: Eukaryota; Metazoa; Chordata; Actinopteri; Salmoniformes; Salmonidae. The record is from RNAcentral.